CCUACGGGAGGCAGCAGUAGGGAAUCUUCCACAAUGGGCGAAAGCCUGAUGGAGCAACGCCGCGUGGGAGAAGAAGGUCUUCGGAUCGUAAAACCCUGUUGUUAGAGAAGAAAGUGCGUGAGAGUAACUGUUCACGUUUCGACGGUAUCUAACCAGAAAGCCACGGCUAACUACGUGCCAGCAGCCGCGGUAAUACGUAGGUGGCAAGCGUUAUCCGGAUUGAUUGGGCGUAAAGGGAACGCAGGCGGUCUUUUAAGUCUGAUGUGAAAGCCUUCGGCUUAACCGGAGUAGUGCAUUGGAAACUGGGAGACUUGAGUGCAGAAGAGGAGAGUGGAACUCCAUGUGUAGCGGUGAAAUGCGUAGAUAUAUGGAAGAACACCAGUGGCGAAAGCGGCUCUCUGGUCUGUAACUGACGCUGAGGUUCGAAAGCGUGGGUAGCAAACAGGAUUAGAUACCCUAGUAGUC
This 465-nucleotide ribosomal RNA is filed under the name uncultured bacterium. RNAcentral's name for it is "partial 16S ribosomal RNA". It matches the Rfam family "Bacterial small subunit ribosomal RNA", at positions 338 to 795 of the family's 1533-position model. The record is from RNAcentral.